This 1155-nucleotide long non-coding RNA is filed under the name Homo sapiens (human). RNAcentral describes it as "novel transcript". Lineage: Eukaryota; Metazoa; Chordata; Mammalia; Primates; Hominidae. The record is from RNAcentral.
GCCUUUCCACGUUGCACAAGCCCAGCGCACGGUACCCACUGGAUAUGCCCGAGGCCUCCAGAGGAAAGGAAAGGAGGAAAAGGGACAGAAGAAAUGUUCACAGGAACUGCAUAUGGGCCUGCUACUUGUGUCAAAAUGUGACUGAACUCUCUUCCAGCAGUGUGAAUCCCUGGAAGGCAAGAUCGCCAUUCUGGUCUCUUGUGGAUAUCAAUGCUGAUCUCAGCUUCUGAUGCACGGCAGUCAAUUAAUAAAUGAUUGUUGCCUGAAAAACUGAGCCCCAAAACAAUAUUACAAGUUUAAUAUCAGUAAAGGAUUUAAUGCUUUCUAACAUGAAGAUACCAGAAGUUGCUGAUUUUUGUAUAACCCAGAGAUGGAUUUAAAUGCAGAGUGUAUGAACUUCUUCAUUCCUGAGGGAGGACUUAUGAUUUCAUGAGAAAUGCCCUAGGAAAGGGGCCGGGGAGACUGAUGGAGAAGAAGAGUUUGGGAGGGAAGCCCCAAGGACCAUCUGCCCCAUCAGAGUCACAUGCAGAGGGUCCUGCUCCUGCCGUUGGAAGUUGGCUUCCUGAGCUGCUGAACGUGCCAGUCCUGCUGACCCACUCUCAGAUAUCACAGGCACCCGCUGUGUCUGACAGAGACCUUUCUGCAAGUACACGUGCAGGUCUGCUCUGCAAAGGCGUUAUCAUCUGCAGAUUAUUGCACAGAGUGGCUACGAGCUGUGGUGUGAUCCUGUCACAGAGAGAGCCUGGUCACGUUUUCAGAACAGCAGGAAACAGGUACACCUGUAAGCUUAUACUUAUCAGAUUUAAAAAUAAAACAAAAAAUCCAUGCUAUUCCAUGAAAAUCGGACUCAAAUAAACUUAGUCACUGAUCUGUGAAGUAAAUAAUCUGAUGGUAAUGCAUCAGUUGACACUUGGGCCUGGGUUUUUAGGCACUAAUGAAAGCCAGGGGCAAAAUAAUUUUUAAUCUACCAUUAUUUCCCUUGAUGGUUCGACAAAAGUUCUUGUACUAGAAAGUUUUAUAAAACUACUUUCUGAGUGUCCUGUGACAUUUCUCUGAUGAUAUAAAAAGUCAAUAUUUGAUAGCUUAAAUAUCAAUAUUGACAGAAAUAUGAUUAUUUAAAUAAAAACACAAAUAGUAAAAUAAUUUUAUAUGAUA